RNAcentral lists this microRNA (19 nucleotides) under Sus scrofa (pig). Its description in RNAcentral is "ssc-miR-4334-5p". The record is from miRBase by way of RNAcentral. Lineage: Eukaryota; Metazoa; Chordata; Mammalia; Artiodactyla; Suidae.
CCCUGGAGUGACGGGGGUG